RNAcentral lists this ribosomal RNA (531 nucleotides) under Triticum aestivum (bread wheat). RNAcentral describes it as "partial small subunit ribosomal RNA". The record is from RNAcentral. Lineage: Eukaryota; Viridiplantae; Streptophyta; Magnoliopsida; Poales; Poaceae.
AUGCUGAUUAGGAAAUUCUGGUGGGGGAGCAAGGAUGGAAAGAGAAAACCAAGUUGGGUCUCUUGGGAAACAAUGACACAACCUAAGAGCAUGGGUGGCCUAGGUUUUAAGGAUUUCGAGCUUUUUAACCUUGCUCUACUUGCGAAACAAGCAUGGCGUAUAUUACAGACGCCGGAAUCUUUGAGUGCAAGGAUCUUGAAGAGCAUUUAUUUUCCCAAUGGAUGUAUCUUAUCAGCAGAACUUGGAAGUCACCCCAGCCAAAUUUGGCGCUCUAUUAUCGAGGGACGGGACAUACUCAAACUUGGGCUGAUUAGACGCAUAGGAAAUGGUGAGACAACCAAUAUCUGGAUGGACAAUUGGAUCCCCAGGGAUGUGAUGAUGAGGCCUUACGGGAGGAGAUCCGCCAACCCCCCCAAUCUUGUUUCUGCCUUGAUCGACCACACAACAGCUACAUGGAAUUGGGAGAGGUUGGAGGAAGUAUGCCUACCAAUAGAUAUCCAGGCUAUUGUCCAAAUUCCAAUAUGCACCUGA